UCCCUCCGAAAUCCCGAAAUUUUAUACAAUGCUUUCACUCUUCGUUUUAUAUGAAAUUUUUUUAUUAAUAUUUUUUAUUCUUACUAGAUGAUAAAAUAUGAAUAAUACUUUAUGCGUAUUUAAUUUUUUUAAAUUUUUAUACAAAUCUUUCAAAUAAGACGAAUGGUCAAACGUUGGACAUGGAAAAACA
Molecule: microRNA precursor, 190 nt
Filed under: Oryza brachyantha (malo sina)
Lineage: Eukaryota; Viridiplantae; Streptophyta; Magnoliopsida; Poales; Poaceae
Description: MIR812 microRNA precursor family
Rfam family: MIR812 microRNA precursor family (bases 25-190)
Source: Rfam by way of RNAcentral